CAACUUUCAACAACGGAUCUCUUGGUUCUGGCAUCGAUGAAGAACGCAGCGAAAUGCGAUACGUAGUGUGAAUUGCAGAAUUCAGUGAAUCAUCGAAUCUUUGAACGCACAUUGCGCCCUUUGGUAUUCC
RNAcentral lists this ribosomal RNA (130 nucleotides) under Bipolaris sorokiniana. RNAcentral describes it as "5.8S ribosomal RNA". It matches the Rfam family "5.8S ribosomal RNA", at positions 1 to 129 of the family's 154-position model. Rfam says of the family: 5.8S ribosomal RNA (5.8S rRNA) is a component of the large subunit of the eukaryotic ribosome. It is transcribed by RNA polymerase I as part of the 45S precursor that also contains 18S and 28S rRNA. RNAcentral also lists the same sequence under 1 other name. The record is from RNAcentral. Lineage: Eukaryota; Fungi; Ascomycota; Dothideomycetes; Pleosporales; Pleosporaceae.